AUGCGCGACCCGGCGGAGAUCCGCAGCCUCCCCAUCGACAUCGCCUUCGCCCGCCUGCAGGAGUGGCUGGUCGACCGAAAGCGGGUGCCGCAGGACUGGCGGAAGCGCCUUGCCGCCAUCCGCGCCCGCCUCGCCGCCGCCUUCUCCUCCCUCCCGCGGGACCUCCACCCCUACCUCCAAACCCUCGAGCUCGAAGAAAUUGGGUACCUUGAGGCAAAGAAGAUAUACAGCAUACUCCUGGAAUCCAACACCGAUAGCAGGAACAUUUUUGGCCGCCUGACAGGCUCCGCGGGCGAAUGGUAUUCGAUCGUUAAAGCUUAUGAGAAGGACCAUGUUUUCCUUGGAGAGGCAGCUCAGAUCAUGGUCCAGAAUGUGAACUAUGACAUACCAUAUCAGAGGAAACAGAUGCAGAAGACUCAGCAGCAGCUAGCAGAACUGGACCGCAGGGAGGCUGACAUUAAGCGACUUGCUGCUCUUUCAGCAACUAGGUAUGCGGAAGCUUGCCAGGAGCUUGGUCUGCAGGGGAUAGAUGUGCGGCAAGAACUGAUAGAAUCUGCAAAAACACUUCCAUCAACAUUUAGCAAAAUCUUGGAAGUCCUGAACAGUGAUACUGUCUCACAGGCCAUGGAGUACUAUACAACUUUUGUUAGGGACUGCCAUACAGAGGAUAAGGAGAACUACAAGUCUGUGGUACACAAUCUGAAACAGUUGCAAGCUAAUCCUCCUUCCCUGCACGUCUCAGUAUGUAAAGAGGUGCAGAAUUCACUUGGAACAGCAAUGGACGGAGGAGAACCCAUCGACUCUAAUGUUCCUGCAGAUGAUAUUGAUUGGGACAUUUCAGUGGAUAAUAAUGGUAUUGACUGGGACAUUGGUGCGGUGGAACAACCUGUGGAAGAAUCUGGCAAUGGUUUUGGGUCUUAUGAAAUUAUUGAUGUCAAUAUAGAGUUGGCAGACUCUGAAACUUACGGUGUUGGUGCUUCAGCCUAUCCAUCUGCAGACAAAGAAGGCCUUACGUGCGAUACAUCCGAGAAUCAGAUUUGCUGGGACAUCUCAACUGAUAAUCCUGAAGAAAGUGCUACUAUCGAGAACGCCCCAACUGAAUCAGGGCAAUAUGAAUGUUUAACUGAGGAAAGAAGUCAGUUGCUGGAGAAGGAGUACAGAAAUAAUAUCGUGGAUGAUUUACUUGAGGUAAAAUCAUUUUUGAUCCUGCGCUCAGCGGAGAUGAGAAAUGCUGAUACAUCAUCUCUACAGCAUCAGGUGCAAGCAGUCUCACCUUUCGUUCUCCAACAGUAUGCUCCUGAACGUUUGGAGAAUAUGCUUGUAGAAGUUUCCUCAGCAAUCUCUCUGCUCACCAACCAGAAAACUCUUGACCUUAUAAUGAUCCUCAACUCUAAAAGGUUUUUGGACAGAUUGGUGUCAACCUUAGAGGAAAAGAAACAUCAUGAGGUGAAACUGCGAGAAGGCUUAGGUGAUUUGUCAGUUAAGCGUAUGGAGCUGCAAAAUGCACUAUCAUCAUCCUGGCCGAAGCAAGAGGCAGCAAUUACAAAAACAAGGGAACUAAAGAAGCUCUCUGAGGCAACGCUUUCAUCUAUGUUCGAUAGCAGACCAGUGCAUAUAAUCGGAGAGAUUAAUAAUUUACUGAGUUCAAGUGUUAGUCAGUUAGCUGGGUGA
RNAcentral lists this ribosomal RNA (1671 nucleotides) under Triticum aestivum (bread wheat). RNAcentral describes it as "partial small subunit ribosomal RNA". Lineage: Eukaryota; Viridiplantae; Streptophyta; Magnoliopsida; Poales; Poaceae. The record is from RNAcentral.